CUGAUCACACGCAGAACAGGUACUUGCGUAUAGAAUCAAUUGAGAGAGAUAAACACCAUAUUUGCAGAUGAUAUGGGAAUAUUGCUACCAAUACAUAAAUAUGGUAAGUUGAUGAUAGAGAACUAAAGUCUUUCCGUUUAUCAUAUAGUUGAGUUGUUGGUUUGCCGUUAGCAUCAUUCUAUGUUUGACAAAAUGUCUAAGUAUGAAGCAGAUGUGGAAGACUCUGUGGUGUCUUUCAUUUCGAGCUCACUAGGGUAUACCCAAUCGACAUAUGAAUGAAAAUGAUUAUUGUUUAUGGAAAAAAUGUCGAUAUAUCUAAAUGUCGCCCAAAGGGCGUUAUAGUAGAUUUCAUCACGUACCAACUUCAUGUCAUGUCCCAAUAACACUCAAAAAUGAUAUUUUAUUUCUUAUAUUCAUAUUUUCUAUUUUGAUUUGUGUUCUUACCGAGCUUCCAUGAUUAUGUAACAGAUGACCGAAAUAACGAUCGUAGAACACAAAAUAUAGUUCGUUAGAGUUUUAUCGAAUAAAAAAUUAGGAACAAUAUCAAAGAGAAUAUAAGAUAUAGAUAUUCAAUUGAAAAGGUUAAAAAAAAAAAGACGAAACAGGUGUAAAAUAAAGGUAAUUUAGAGCGUAAAGUUAAUUGAAAUGAAGAGAAGAAGAGCGGAGUAAACCACAUCCGUGAUAUGAUUUGGUCGCGAUCAGCGAUAGAGAAGCCUACUAAGUUGAAAAUACAAUUGUUGAUCACAGAUUUCGACAGAAAUUCAAAGGAUCUGAGAGAAUUGAUGGAGGAUAGGAUGGGUCAAGUUAACGUUAAGCUCUUAGUAAGAUUUUUGGAAAGAAACAACGGCUUGUUCAUCGUUAGGACUCGCGGUUGUAGCCAGACAGGAGACGAUUCGAGACAGUAGGACAGAUCUAGACAAAGUGCAGAUUUUAAUGAAGACUCGCACCGGUACCCUGACACGAACAUAUUUUUUUGAGCCUCGAAACCAGCCUCGCUUAUGAUCAUGCCGAGUCAUAGCAGUUGACAAGAAACAACAGGUUAACUUAUCAUCAUGAAGUAAAUUGGCUUAUAACUCUGCCUACAAUUUUUCGCUUCCAAUAUCAUAGAACUUUAUUUUAUAAACUCGCCAUGCAGAAAUUGCAAUUUAGGCAUAGUUGCAGACUUUUUAAACUUUUUAAAAUGAAACAAUAGAUCGGUAUGUUUAAUGUUUCUGUUUUUUAAAUUGAUGAAAUUCUUGUUUGUUUACAAAAUAAACUCUGUAUAAAUAU
Molecule: long non-coding RNA, 1269 nt
Organism: Ostrea edulis (European flat oyster)
Lineage: Eukaryota; Metazoa; Mollusca; Bivalvia; Ostreida; Ostreidae
Exons: 2
Source: RefSeq, a predicted model, not a curated record